Ictalurus furcatus (blue catfish) is the source of this 1182-nucleotide long non-coding RNA. RefSeq lists it as uncharacterized. The record is from RefSeq and is a predicted model, not a curated record. The transcript has 3 exons. NCBI's taxonomy places the organism in Eukaryota, Metazoa, Chordata, Actinopteri, Siluriformes, Ictaluridae.
GGGAACCAAUCAAAAUGUUCUAUUUUAAAGAGACUCUUUUUAAAAUAAGCCUUCAGAAUGAUUAGAUUGGAAAAACGUGAGGUUCUGGUGAGCAGAUAAAAUAUUUAAUAGUAAUAAUAACAAGUAGUGAAGAUCUCAGGCAGCAUGAAGGUGUCGGUGAGUUUCCUUUUCUUUGAGCUUCACUGACGUCCUCUAUUUUCAUUCUGUGUUCUUCUGUGAUUAUUUAAAAGUUUUAAUUGGGUUUUAAACUGUUCAAGGAUUAUUUGGGUUGUGACUGCUGGUUCUGUAUCACUUACAGUUUGAGGAUUUAAACUUAAUCUGUGUUUUUAUUCUAGAUCUUUGGUGUAUUCUUGAUUACCAUGGGUUAGUCCAAUCAAAUCUACUAUGUUGUUGUUGAUGCCAGAUGUCCUUUGUGGGGGUGAGUCACUAACUUGGCAAAUUGUUUGUUUGCAUUGCAGGAUUCUUUUCUCUGAGUCCGGUGUUUCCAGAACAUUUUCCUCCUCCCAGCAUUUGUUAUGCUCAGUGGUUUGAUCGUGACAAUCCUAGUGAAUUAGGAGAUUAUGAAACACUGGCCAACCUGAGAGAAGAAUAUCUACAUGAGCUCUGCCACAAGCCUUUAGCCAUUGAUGCUCAGACUAUGGAUGAUGUUCCAGCCUCACGCACUGGACAAGUGUUUCAAUAGUGCAGGGCUUCGCCUAUGUGAAUUCUCAGCAGGAUGAAGGACCGUGUCUAGAUUACAAGGUGUGUUUUGGGUGCCCGGCUCCUUGGCCUCCGGCUCCUUGGCCUCCGAGUGCUUGGCCUCCGGCUCCUUGGCCUCCGAGUGCUUGGCCUCUGGCUCCUUGGCCUCCGACUCCGACCGACGUGAUGCCUCAGUAAACCCCUUUUCACCUGUCUGUUUUUUCAGUCAUCUUAUCACCGCCUUCUGUAUUCCUAUUGCUUCAUGUCUCUUUUUAAUAACUCAAAUGUGUAUGAGAACAUGUGCUCCAGAUCGUCUACAGAAUCAGUCACUUGUCUUUGAGAUGUUUUUGAUCGAUUAAUCGCAUGAACAAUUUGUAUGCACUCUAAUGAGAAACUGAUGACUGUAAUAAAAAUUACCUUCAGUCCUGCUUGUCCGAUUCUUGAUCUGUGCUCCAAAGGAGUCAUGCCAGUUUUGUGGGUUUUUAUUAAUUUAUAGAAAUUAAC